UACGAAGGGGGCUAGCGUUGUUCGGAAUCACUGGGCGUAAAGGGCGCGUAGGCGGCUUUGUAAGUCGGGGGUGAAAGCCUGUGGCUCAACCACAAAAUUGCCUUCGAUACUGCAUGGCUUGAGACCGGAAGAGGUAAGUGGAACUGCGAGUGUAGAGGUGAAAUUCGUAGAUAUUCGCAAGAACACCAGUGGCGAAGGCGGCUUACUGGUCCGGUUCUGACGCUGAGGCGCGAAAGCGUGGGGAGCAAACAGG
RNAcentral lists this ribosomal RNA (253 nucleotides) under uncultured bacterium. Its description in RNAcentral is "partial 16S ribosomal RNA". It matches the Rfam family "Bacterial small subunit ribosomal RNA", at positions 524 to 776 of the family's 1533-position model. The record is from RNAcentral.